GACGAACGCUGGCGGCGCGCCUAACACAUGCAAGUCGAACGGAGCUGAGAGAAGCUUGCUUUUCUUAGCUUAGUGGCGAACGGGUGAGUAACGCGUGAGUAACCUGCCCUGGAGUGGGGGACAACAGUUGGAAACGACUGCUAAUACCGCAUAAGCCCACGAUCCGGCAUCGGAUUGAGGGAAAAGGAUUUAUUCGCUUCAGGAUGGACUCGCGUCCAAUUAGCUAGUUGGUGAGGUAACGGCCCACCAAGGCGACGAUUGGUAGCCGGAGUGAGAGGUUGAACGGCCACAUUGGGACUGAGACACGGCCCAGAGUCCUACGGGAGGCAGCAGUGGGGGAUAGUGCACAAUGGGGGAAACCAUGAUGCAGCGGCGCCGCGUGGAGGAAGAAGGUUUUCGGAUUGUAAACUCCUGUCGUUAGGGACGAUAAUGACGGUACCUAACAAGAAAGCACCGGCUAACUACGUG
RNAcentral lists this ribosomal RNA (468 nucleotides) under uncultured bacterium. RNAcentral describes it as "partial 16S ribosomal RNA". It matches the Rfam family "Bacterial small subunit ribosomal RNA", at positions 28 to 507 of the family's 1533-position model. The record is from RNAcentral.